Molecule: ribosomal RNA, 141 nt
Filed under: Pantoea anthophila
Lineage: Bacteria; Pseudomonadati; Pseudomonadota; Gammaproteobacteria; Enterobacterales; Erwiniaceae
Description: partial 23S ribosomal RNA
Rfam family: Bacterial large subunit ribosomal RNA
Source: RNAcentral
GGGUUGUGAGGUUAAGCGACUAAGCGUACACGGUGGAUGCCCUGGCAGUCAGAGGCGAUGAAGGACGUGCUAAUCUGCGUAAAGCGACGGUAAGGUGAUAUGAACCGCUACAGCCGUCGAUGUCCGAAUGGGGAAACCCGG